ACGUUACAGACACGCACGCACGCACGCACGCGCACGCACGCACGCGCGCUCCACAGAGCUGCAUAUCGCGCGGAGCCGCUGCUUCACUUCGGAACUGUGCUGUCUGGCGCGCGUGCGGCGCUUCCACAACACUGAGUUUGUGGACGAUUUCUUUUUUUUUUUUUUUUUGGCUGUUGUUUACCGAAAGUGUCGGGUUGAAAUACAAAAAAGAUAUAAAUAAAAGCUGACGUGCAAGAGCUUCGGGGACGCUUCUGAAAAGUUUAAAGUGUAGUUAAAAAAAACCAAAACAAAACAACGACAACAACAACAACUUCGCGUGGUUGUUUGACUGGAGCCGUGCCGGUGAGCUAGUUGGCUAACUAUCAAACAAACUUUAAGAGUUUUUCUCUCUUGUUUUUCUCUCAAGAGGACAAUUUCAGAGGAGGAAAUACACGAACUACGGAGUCGCUUCGUCUGGGGGGAAGACAGCAAGUUUUCUUUGGGUUCAUUCAGAAAGAAAUUUUUGUUUAGACCCGAGCUGAACACCAGUGUUUUUUUUUUUUCUUCUUCUUUUUUUAAAUUUCAUCUGGAUUUCACGUUGUCAGUUUAGCCUAGUUAUUGUAGAAAUAGUGCUGCUUGUGAGAGAGACUCCGCGUUCAGGUUGCAGAGAGGUUCAAAUUCGUUCAUUUGUACUGAAAAGGAUUUGAGGUCCUGCUCCAGAAAGUUCCCGGGAGAGGUGCUGAAACAUGCCGCAGCUGGCGGGUGGCGGAGGCGGCGGAGACCCGGAGCUCUGCGCCACCGACGAGAUGAUCCCGUUCAAGGACGAGGGAGACCCGCAGAAAGAGCAGAGCUUCGCCGAGAUCACCAACUCCGAGGAGGAGGGAGACCUGGCCGAGCUCAAGUCCUCUCUGGUCAACGAGAGUGAGACGAGUCCGAACAGCAACAGCCACGACGCAGCUAGACAGUCCCAAAUAACCCCAGACUCCUAUCAUGAAAAACACAGAGAGCAUCCGGAUGAUGGAAAGCUCCAAGAUCUGUACAGUAAAGGACAUGCCUACUCUGCUUACCCAAGUUACAUCAUGAUGACCAACAUGAACAACGAACCCUACAUGAACAACGGCUCGCUCUCGCCUCCCAUGCCCAGAACGUCAAAUAAGGUUCCUGUGGUGCAGCCGUCCCACGCAGUUCACCCCCUCACACCUCUGAUCACCUAUAGCGAUGAGCACUUUGCCCCCGGCCCUCACUCCGCGCACCACCCACAGGACUCCAAAGGAAUGCCUAGGCAUCAUCCUGGUCCAGAUAUUCCUAACUUUUACUCACUCUCCCCUGGAGGAGUUGGACAGAUCACCCCACCACUGGGCUGGUUCCCACAUCACAUGGUUCCAGGACCUCCUGGACCUCAUGCCACGGGAAUCCCCCACCCUGCCAUCGUCAACCCACAAGUCAAACACGAGCCUCCACACGAGACAGACCUGAUGCACAUGAAGCCUCAGCACGAGCAGAGAAAGGAGCAGGAGCCCAAGAGGCCUCACAUCAAGAAGCCACUCAACGCCUUCAUGCUUUACAUGAAAGAGAUGCGUGCCAACGUGGUGGCUGAGUGCACACUGAAGGAGAGCGCUGCCAUCAACCAGAUUCUAGGCAGAAGGUGGCAUGCUUUAUCUCGGGAAGAGCAAGCAAAGUAUUAUGAAUUAGCCCGCAAGGAACGGCAGCUCCACAUGCAGUUAUACCCAGGCUGGUCUGCUAGAGACAAUUACGGAAAGAAGAAGAAAAGGAAGAGGGAGAAGCUCCAGGAAUCAGCCACAGACUUCCAUUUUCUGCAGGUACAGCCCAGAGAAUGAAAACGGCGUACAUCUGAGCAAUGAGGCUGGUUUUAAAAGAACAGACCCAGAUGUGAUCUCUCCCUAUCCUCCCAUCCACCCACAUGGCCCACAUGUGUAAUCCGGAGGAAAACGAACUGCUUUCUCCUCAUGCAAAGCGAAGCCAGCAGCUGCGGGGGCCCUUUUGGAGAUGGAAGCCUGUUAGAUGACUUCUGACCCCUUCAGCGACCUCUUGACUCCCCCCGCUGACCUCUUGGAGGGCUCCAGCUCUCGAGUGCGCUCCUCUGCUGUAGAGACACUGAACUGAAACCACAGACAAUCGCUUCUCGCCUAGACCUGCUACUCUACAUACACACAGAGAUACACACUUAGCCCUUCACAGAUAUGAGUACACAGACACACACACACACACACAAAGUUCGUUUGGGGUUUACGUUCGUUUUAGCUUGUUGUGCCCAAAGUCCAAGUUAUUGCACUGAUAAUGUCUUCAUCCAAACGCACAAAUCACCACACACACGUGCAGAGAGGCAAGAAAUCAAUCACACACCUUUCCACACCUGUCCCUAAGUUAUUUAAGUUAUUUGGCACCCCUGUUUUCUGUAUGUACAGUUCAUCCCCAGCACCAUCUCACUUUUCACCCAAUGAUGUAGCAUUUCAGGGCCCGGUUUUCAGGAGCGUUCUCUUCAGAUGUCAGACGGAUCAUUUAUUCUCGACUUGCAAACAUUCUCUCAAGACUUUUUCAUAUUUCCACCAGUGGGUGCAAAAUAAAAAAAACAAAAAAGGAUCAAAGUUUUGACUUUUAUGGGUUCAAGUUCAAUUUUGAAUGCUUUUUUUUUUUUGUAUUUUAAAAUAUUCAUUUCAUCUCUCGGUGUAUAUUUUAAGUCAUUUUGUUUUUAUCUUUAUUUUUUAUAUAUAUACUGGUAUAUAUAUAUAUACGAGAAUAAGCUUUGCGACAGGAAAGCUGUUCUGUUUUUCUUGCAAAAACGACCUUUCAUUUGAGAACUGUAACUAAUGAUGACCUCCCAGUGCUCAGAUGUAAAAUAAUGCUCAGUAUGUGUACUUUUUAAUGAAAAAUGUCUGGAUAUGUCUCUUUUCUUGGUAUUUUUGCAGGCAAUGUUAGGACAUGCGUGUUCGAGUGGGUACUCAGAGGCCUAUAUUUUAUUGUUCUAAACAGACAAAUGAAGCAGAUAUAUAUUUACCCCAGCACUUGCCGGUCUCUUUUAUUGCGAUGUUCCUCUGUUUCCUCUCUAUCUGCUAGAUAAUAGUGUGGUCUUUUUGCCAUGUUUAUUACAUGCAAGCAUCUCUGUAACAUUUGAUUUUACAUUCUAUUUUUUAGUAUUAUUGGAUACAUUUUCUUUUUUUUUUUUUUCUUUUUUUUUUUUUUUUAAAUUCAUUGUCAUUUUGAAUCACUGUCAUCUUGGUUUAGCACUUUGCUUCCAAGUGGUCACAUUUGAACUGUGUUUCUACAUGCCUUUUUAUUUUUAAAAAAAAAAGACAAAAAAAUAAAUCAGCAUCUUUGACUGAC
RNA transcript from Pangasianodon hypophthalmus (striped catfish), 3321 nucleotides. It is a transcript of the gene named lymphoid enhancer-binding factor 1, with no coding region annotated. NCBI's taxonomy places the organism in Eukaryota, Metazoa, Chordata, Actinopteri, Siluriformes, Pangasiidae. The transcript has 12 exons. The record is from RefSeq and is a predicted model, not a curated record.